RNAcentral lists this ribosomal RNA (1193 nucleotides) under Anagonalia emeiensis. RNAcentral describes it as "16S ribosomal RNA". Lineage: Eukaryota; Metazoa; Arthropoda; Insecta; Hemiptera; Cicadellidae. The record is from RNAcentral.
AAUUUAUAUUUAUUAUAUUAAUUAUUCUUACUAUUUAUUUAGUAUUCUAAAAAUUUAAUAUUAAUUUUUCUGUUAAGUUUAAUAUGUAUAUUAGUAUAAUAAUUUUUAGUUCCUUUUGUAUCAGGAUAAAUUUAAUAAUUUUUGUAUUAUUGUUUCCCGAAAAAAAUGAUAUUUAUUAUAUUUUUUUUAUAUUGUUGAAUAAAUAUAUUUAAAUUUAUAAUAGUAGUUAAAUGUUUUCGUUCUUUUUUAUAUCUGGUUAUUUAGGAUUUCAAUUUAAUUGAUGAUUAAUUUUUUAAUUAAAUUAUUUUAAUAUUAAUCUUAUGUAAUUUGGGAUAAUCUAUUUUAUUAUUUAAAAUUUUCUUUAUUAAAUUUUUAUUUAUUUUUAAAUCUUUUAUUAAGUUCUUAAUAGAUUAAAAUUAUUAAUUUUAAUUUUUUUUAUAUUUAUUUUAUUACUAAAUUAAUUAAUAAAAUUUAUAUUUUUAUAUAAUAAUGAUUUAAUUAAUAUAAUUUUAAAAUUAAUUUGAAAGAAUUAGACAAAUUAAAUCUUCAGCUGUUUAUCAAAAACAUUUCUUUUAGUAAUUUAUUAAAGGUAAAUUCUGCUCUAUGAUUGUAUUUAAUUAAAUAGCUGCAGUAUUUUGACUGUACAAAGGUAGCAUAAUAAUUAGUCAUUUAAUUGUUGACUUGUAUGAAUGAAUAAAUGAAAGAUUAAUUUUUUUAAAUUUAUUAUUAUAAUUUUAUUUUUAAGUUAAAAAGCUUAAUUUUUUUUUUGGGACGAUAAGACCCUAAAGAACUUUAUUAUAUUUUAUUUUUAAUAUUUUUAUUAUAUGUUUGUAUUUAUUUUAUUUUUUUAUUGGGGUGAUAUGUAAAAUUUAACUUUACUUUUUUUUUUCAUUAAUUUAUGAUUAUUUAGAUCCAUUAUUUAGACUAAAAGAUUUAGUUACCUUAGGGAUAACAGCGUAAUUUUAAUGGAAAGUUCAUAUUUAUAUUAAAGUUUGCGACCUCGAUGUUGAAUUAAGAUUAUUUUGAGGGGUAGUUUUUUCAAUAUUAAGUCUGUUCGACUUUUAAAUUCUUACAUGAUUUGAGUUCAAACCGGUGUGAGCCAGGUUGGUUUCUAUCUAAAAAAUUUUUAUUUUAAUUAGUACGAAAGGACCAUUAAAUGUCAAUAUUUAUUGUUAAUAUAUUUGAAUUAUUAU